RNAcentral lists this ribosomal RNA (459 nucleotides) under uncultured bacterium. Its description in RNAcentral is "partial 16S ribosomal RNA". It matches the Rfam family "Bacterial small subunit ribosomal RNA", at positions 338 to 795 of the family's 1533-position model. The record is from RNAcentral.
CCUACGGGUGGCAGCAGUGAGGAAUAUUGGUCAAUGGGCGCGAGCCUGAACCAGCCAAGUAGCGUGAAGGAUGACUGCCCUACGGGUUGUAAACUUCUUUUAUAAAGGAAUAAAGUGAGGCACGUGUGCCUUUUUGUAUGUACUUUAUGAAAAAGCAUCGGCUAACUCCGUGCCAGCAGCCGCGGUAAUACGGAGGAUCCGAGCGUUAUCCGGUUUUAUUGGGUUUAAAGGGUGCGUAGGCGGGUGGUCAAGUCAGUGGUAAAAUUUGGGGGCUCAACCUCAGCCUGCAAUUGAAUCUGGCUGUCUUGAGUACAAGAGAGGUAGGCGGAAUUCGUGGUGUAGCGGUGAAAUGCAUAGAUAUCACGAAGAACUCCGAUUGCGAAGGCAGCAUACCGGCUUCCCACUGACGUUGAUGCACGAAAGCGUGGGGAUCGAACAGGAUUAGAUACCCUUGUAGUC